AUUAAACGCUGGCGGAAUGCUUUACACAUGCAAGUCGAACGGCAGCACGGACUUCGGUCUGGUGGCGAGUGGCGAACGGGUGAGUAAUGUAUCGGAACGUGCCCAGUCGUGGGGGAUAACGUAGUGAAAAUUACGCUAAUACCGCAUACGAUCUAUGGAUGAAAGCGGGGAUCGCAAGACCUCGCGCGAUUGGAGCGGCCGAUAUCAGAUUAGGUAGUUGGUGGGGUAAAGGCCCACCAAGCCAACGAUCUGUAGCUGGUCUGAGAGGACGACCAGCCACACUUGAACUGAGACACGGUCCAGACUCCUACGGGAGGCAGCAGUGGGGAAUUUUGGACAAUGGGCGAAAGCCUGAUCCAGCCAUUCCGCGUGCAGGAUGAAGGCCCUCGGGUUGUAAACUGCUUUUGUACAGAACGAAAAGGUUUCUACUAAUACUAGGAGCUCAUGACGGUACUGUAAGAAUAAGCACCGGCUAACUACGUGCCAGCCGCCGCAGUAA
This 499-nucleotide ribosomal RNA is filed under the name uncultured bacterium. RNAcentral's name for it is "partial 16S ribosomal RNA". It matches the Rfam family "Bacterial small subunit ribosomal RNA", at positions 30 to 523 of the family's 1533-position model. The record is from RNAcentral.